This 6359-nucleotide long non-coding RNA is filed under the name Prunus persica (peach). Its description in RNAcentral is "long non-coding RNA (PPER_LNC001646)". Lineage: Eukaryota; Viridiplantae; Streptophyta; Magnoliopsida; Rosales; Rosaceae. The record is from RNAcentral.
CUUUUUCUUCAGCAAUCAACGGCCCGAUGUAGUAGACAGGAGGAGUGGGAGCAUCAGGAACACAAAGACCUUCAGCAAUGGCUUUGAGGACUGCAGGAGGCUCGAGCUCUUCAAACGUGUUGGCUAUGAUCCCAUUAGAUUUGGGAAGGUGGGUGCAGAAGUAGACCAUGUCCCAAUACGCAGGGUCGUCUCGGUCAAGCAUUGGCUCAGGCAUGUGGGGGGCAUUCAGGGGAGACUUCAACCCGGGAAACUCCAAAACAGUCUCGGUCAGAUCCUUGAAGCUCUUGGUAGUUUGUUCCCCGAUUUUCGGAAAAUACAGAAAAACCGCAAGAGCUGCAGCGCCAGAGGUGUAAAAGUAGUAGGUGGGAAUGCCGAGUUCCUUCGCCAUUGGCAGCGCAGAGGAGCAGAAGAUGUCGAUGAUAAAAGCGCGAAUGGCUGAAGAUUUAGAGAUCUCUUGGAGGGCAAGACGGACAUGUGGAUCAUUCCGGCGAAUGAAAUCGAACAAUAUGGCCUCGAAGCUGAUGGGAAUUAAUGUAAUUUUAUUUUCAACGCGAGGAAAUUGGUGGAAGGAGAUGGAAGGAUAGGCUCGGGAGAUGCGCUGGAUGUAGGCGGGGAUGCUUGGAGUGUCAACCAAACUGCCACAAGUGUAGAGAAUGGUAAUGGAGAAUUUUCUGGGGUAGCGAUUGAGAAUGAGCUUGCCUAGCUCAACCAUGGAGAUUAUGUGUCCCAUUCCUGGAGCUGCGUAGAGGACUAUUGUGUCUUCUUCCAUGGCUUUGGUUGGUUUGUGUUUCUGGUUUUCCCUUUUCAUUGCUCAAAGCUUUUGAGGGAGAAGACGUUUUGAAAUACUCUUCACUAAAAGUAGAUGGAAAUUCAAGUCUUAGGUGAAGCACGAGGCAAGGCACAGGUUGUACGCCAUCAUUUAUCAUGAUCAAAAGAAAAAGGGAAAUGGUUUUUUAAUGGAAUAACUAGGUUCUCACAUGCAUGAACAAGAGUCUUUGAUGUGCAUGUAUUACAUUUUCCACACUCAAACCAAGUUGUCAAAUCGAAAUGGAUAGAUUCCACAUGGUAGAAUAAAACCAUGAAAAUGACUAGAAAUAUCAUAAGUUUUCUAUGGGCCGAGAAAUAUCAUAAGUUUUCUCUCAAGUUUUCUAUGGGCUGCUUUUAAUGUUAAGAGUGGCAAGCUUCUGUAUGUUCAUGGGAUAAACCUGGCUAAGGUCCCCAUUGAAAGCUUUCCUCCCAAUUAUGAUGUUGGCUGCUGCUGUUGGGUGGAAAGCAUCCCAGAAUAUGUACUGGUCUCGAUUCGGGCAUGGUGUUUGGAGUGGAAGACAUGUAAUUUGGCCUCUGUUGCGCCCAAUGCCACAGCAUCCACGAUUUGCAACAGUGAAUCCUAGAAAUAAAAUUGCAAACGGGUUGAGACAUGGUCAACAAAGACAAAAUCUAAAGUUCUAUUUCAGUGAAGAAUGACUUGAAGUUAAAUAGUAGCCAGGCAUUUACCAUAAGAUCUGGCAUUGUUGACGAUGUCUUCGAAUAUUCGAGCAAUGUCAAUGUAAAUGAACUUUGCGCCUGGCAAGUUGGUGUUAAGUUUGUUGAUCAUUGUCUUCACAUUUGCAUUAAACGGUAGAACAAGGCGAUUCACUUCCUCAUUGCACCUUCCACUUGGACUCUGGGCCAAGAUACUUGGAAUGCAGCCCAUUCUCCCUAAUCCAGCAACAACAAACUUUCGAGCACCAAGAUUAUAGAGUCUCUGUAACAUGUCACAUACAGUAGGAUGUUAACUUAGGUAACUUACAGAGUCUAUCACAUGUGAUCAAGUCAUGGAAAAUGCGCGCCUACAGGUGAGCCCAUGAAUAGAAGUUCUUACAGUGAGUUGCUGGGUGUAUUGUUGAGUCAAAAGAUCAGCAAAUUGUGGAGCAUUGUACUGAGUUCUUGUGGGAUAGUUGGGCAUAAGAUAAUUGUUUAGGUAGUCAUUGCUGCCCAUUCCAACAAAGAAGAUGCAGUCUGCAAUUGCCCCGGCCACGUCAUCUGCCCCGAGAUUGUCUGUAAUCUGAUCAAGGGUACUCUGGAAGUUCCUUAUUUGUUCACCAAAAGGUAUUCUUCCCACCUGACACCAAAACAAUUGUUACCAAACAGUGGAACAUUGAAACACAUGCUUCUGGUUAAUUGUAGGCUGUAUAGUUUAGAUAUGUUGGAACAUGGCAAAAGAUUGAACUUGUGUUAUGUAAAGCACUAAGGCUUCUGCUAAUCCAUUUAAAAUCAAAUUCCUCAGUUAAAAAUUUCAGGAAAAAUAAAAUAAAAUAAAUUUUGUGGAUGAAGUAGUUAAUUAUAAUUACAAAGUUUCUGCCAGUGAUAUCAAGGAUUCCAGCUGCUGCAGAUGCAUAAUUGACUCCAUGAAGCACUUGGUCUCCAGAAGCUUCAGAAAAAGGAGGAAUCAAGGGAAGUCCUAGCAGUUCAGCUGCAUAUUGAAUAUUAUAUUUAUGUUAAAAUAAUAUACAUCAAAAUCACUUGGAAAACCCAAGAGAAACAAAUUUCUUUUUAAAAAAAUUAUAUUUUUUAUAAAUAAAAAAACACCAAUGUUGAAAUAUUGCCAUGAUUUAUAUCCAAAUUGGGAAUGAAAAGGCCCCCUUUAUAUGUAAAAAUGGUAGGACAGGUGGGUCCAUGCCAUAGCAGAGAGACAAAUUCUAUCUUUCUCGUACAGAGCAUACCAACAUUACCAAAGGGUAACCCAUAAUAUAUCUACAAAUUAAGGAUGGCUUUCAGAUCACUUAAUUUAUGUUUAAUUAAAGACCCAAUUUUAAAAAAUAAAGAACCAAUUUACCAACCCAAGAUGUUUCUUGCUCCCACACAUAAAAAGAUUAAAAUAUAUACAUAAACUUUGUGACUUAAAUUCAAUCAUAAUACACUGAAAUACUGAUCUCACAGCAAAACAUAUUACACUACAAAAUCAAAGAAGAGGAUCUAGUAGAGAGAGAGAGAGAGAGAGAGAGAGAGAGAGAGAGAGAGAGAGAGAGAGAGACCUAUUUCAUCAACCAUGGUGUAACCAUUGGAAAAACGACCGGUAGGGCCACCAUUGAAAUCAAUGCCAUAGGGGAAAUAGUUAGCCUUGGCAAAUGAUGGGAUGUUGUUGUUGUUGCCAUUGUCAAUCAAAGAGUCUCCAAACACAAACAUGGCAGGCACCAUUUCUGCGCUCCUCCCACCACCACCCACUUGACCUUGUGGUGCUGCUGCUGCUGCAGCCGCUGAUGAAAAGUUCACAUCUUGGCCCCAAACCGCCCCACCCAGCACCAUCAACCAGAAAACCACCAAAGAAAAAACCCUAAUUGGGGCCUUGGCCAUGAAUGAAUUAAUGUGUUUUGCUUGUUUUGAGAUGAUGAAUAUGUGGGAGAAAGUGAGAGAGCCACCUGUGUUGAUAAUGAAUGAGGUUUUUGAGUAUUGGCAAGAGCAUGCAAGGGAUGAUUUAAUAGGCGAGGCAAGGCGGUGGUUGUGAAUGGAAUAAAUGUUUUCACCUGUUAUCUUACGUGCAGGAAUUGAAGUAAAGAGUCCAUUUUUGUUCAAGGAUAAAUAAGAGUUUACUUUCCCAGCAUUGUUCUGCAUGCAGCUUCAAAUUCCCUCGCUAUUUUAUUUUAUUUUUUCCGUCUUUGGUUACAAACGGGGCCCGAGGCCGAAGCAAAACCAAUAGGCACAAGAGACUAAAGUUCAAGGUAGUUUGCUUUUAUCACAUGGUAAUAGUUAUUACGAUGCUUCUUUCAAAAAAAUAAUAAUAAUAAAUAAAUAAAUAUAUAUAUAUAUAUAGUUAGUAAUUAUGAUGCUGCGAAUGGGGUGCCCAGUGAAAAAGGUUAUCAACUUGCACAAGACCUUAAGUUCAAAUUUUUAUGGCAUCUUAGUUAUAUGUGUGUGAGAAAUCCCCUCUCCUUAGUUAUAUGUGUGUGAGAAAUAAUUAUUACAAUACUAUCUCUAGUCUUUUGGUAAGAGCAUUAGCAAUGCAUUCCCUAACCCACAUCAGACAAAAAUUCAAAUUAAUUUGUUUUUUUUUUGUUGAUAUUUUAUUUAUUUUUUGCCAAAGGGGAGGGGAACACAUAGUUACAAUAAGUUUUUGAAGUCAUAACCACUUGGGAACGCACCAAAGAUCUGGAUCGAUCCAACUAACGACUCAUUAGUCAAAGUAAUUUGCUUUUACCAAUUAUUCCGAUGCUCUCUCUAGUUUUUUAUAGUUUGGUAAACGACGUAAGUUCAAGGCAGGCAGAGUUAGGUUCAAACCACCACUCUUGGAACCCAAUAUGUAAAGACACCUAGACCUAGCUGCCAUUUUAGAGUUUUAGGAACUUGAAUGAAGUUAUGGCAAAGACACCUAGACCUAGCUGCCAUUUUAGAGUUUUAGGAACUUCAAUGAAGUUAUGGGAAAAAGGACUGGUUAGCAAAUACACUUCAUUUGCUAUGACCUAGCUCACAGCAAAGUAUUAAAAGAUUUCCAAAUAUAGUAGCAUGCUUAAUGUUGGUGGAGCCAACAUGCCCUUUUAUUAAUGUUCUUGUUUUGGACUUAAACCUUUCAAUACAUUUCUAUCGUUUGGCCCAAAGAAAAAAAAAAAAAAAACCACCAAAAUAAGAGAGAAGAAAAAGGUAAAAUCUACGAGCUACUUCCAACAACUAUGAUAAAUGAAGGCAAUACAUUUAAAUUAUAAAAGUUUAAUUAUUGAAGGAAUUAUAAAGUUUUGAACCUGGUUCUACUACUAUAAUAUUCAUUUGCAUAAUUUGUUAAAGAUAAAAUAAAUUCAAAGACUUCUUUUUCUCAACUUUGAGCUAUUUCAAUUUCAACAUAUUUUUUCUUAUAAUUUUUUUCUUUAAUAAAAUAGAAUGAUAACCACUAUAUAUGACACUCAGCUUUACCAGAUAAAAGCAUAGUGUUUACAGACUGAGAAUACAUAAAUGUGAUGUGUUACAUUUUCCACACUCAAACAAAUUAAGAAUAUAUAAAGUAAAAUCAAAACGAAUGGAGCCAAAUGGUAAAGUAGAUAGGAAGCACCCAACUUUAAUUGCUAGAAAUAUAUGGAAGGUUCAAUAAUUUCUAAUGGUUGCUUUUUUUUUUUCUUUCGAAAAUAAGCGAUAGUAUAUUAUUGAUGAACAAACAAAAGUACAAAGUAACUAUGUGCCGAAUAUGGGUAAAUAUUUUUCAGUGACCAAAUAGUUGGGUAAAGGGCAAAGACAUUUACUUAAAUGCUGAAAAUGAAAAUAAAGUAAUUUGUAUACUUAGAGUGCACCACCAUCAGCUAAACAAAUGGGCCAUUUGAAGCACCUAUAAUGGUUUUUCUGGCGAAGGAAGGUGCAACUGCACCUCCUUACGCAUUUAGUGAAAAAAUUUUAAACACAAUAAGAUGGACAAGAAGAUGCACCCUUGGUAUUUUCCUUUAUUUUUUUAUUCACCAAGUGCAAAGUGCAAAUACAUAACUUAUGCAAUGCUAUUAACAAAGUUAACGAAGUUUCUAGUGGAUGAACCAGACUCACUCCAAGCCGCCAAAGCUAUCUCUCCCAUUUUCCUGCUCCUUUCUCUAAGCUCUUCCCCUUUUUCCGACUCCAUCAACUCCCUAACGCUUCUCUCCAAUUCAUCCCCCAACACAAACCAUCUUCCUCUCUCUGCUUCACAGCAAUUGCCAUUUCCAUGUCCUUCACCAAAAUACUUUUAUUCAAAUGCUGCUUUGCAUAGAGUGACCAUGCCACCAUCGGCACGCCGGCAAUCACCGCUUCAAGCACCGAGUUCCACCUACAAUGCCUCACGAACCUGCCCACGGAUUCCUUCUUCAACACCGCCACUUGCGGCGCCCAUGACUUCACCACCAAGCCUUCAUCUUAGGUCCUCUCCAAGAACCCUUAUGGCCACAAACCUUCCAACUCAAAGUCAUGUACUCCUUGGACCUGCUUGGUUUUCUCAUCAAGGGGAAGCUUCUUCAUCACCCACAAAAACCUCUGUCCACUCUUUUCCAACCCAUCUGUUAUCUCUUUCAAUUGAGCCCCUGAGAAUGAUCCUCUGCUUCCAAAACAGAGAAACACCACACUUCUACUUGGCUGCUGAUCAAGCCAUGACAAACAAUCUUCUGCAUCUGCAGAAUCCCCAAAUUCUUUUUCUUCAGAAAUCAAUAGCCCGAUGUAGUAGACAUGAGGAGUGGGAGCAUUAGGAACACAAAGACCUCCAACAAUGGCUUUGAGGACUGCAGGAGGCUCGAGCUCUUCAAACGUGUUGGCUAUGAUCCCAUUAGAUUUGGGAAGGUGGGUGCAGAAGUAGACCAUGUCCCAAUAAGCAGGGUCAUCUCGGUCAAGCAUUGGCUCAGGCAUGUGAGGGGCAUUCAGGGGGGACUUCAACCCGGGAAACU